This 457-nucleotide ribosomal RNA is filed under the name uncultured bacterium. RNAcentral describes it as "SSU rRNA". It matches the Rfam family "Bacterial small subunit ribosomal RNA", at positions 26 to 518 of the family's 1533-position model. The record is from RNAcentral.
AGAAUCAACGCUGGCGGCGUGCCUAACACAUGCAAGUCGCACGAGAAAGGGGAGCAAUCCCUGAGUAAAGUGGCGCACGGGUGAGUAACACGUGAAUUAUCUACCUCCGAGUGGGGAAUAACCUAGAGAAAUCUGGGCUAAUACCGCAUAACACUUACGAGUCAAAGCAGUAAUGCGCUUGGAGAGGAGUUCGCGGCAGAUUAGCUAGUUGGCGGGGUAAUGGCCCACCAAGGCAAUGAUCUGUAUCCGGCCUGAGAGGGCGCACGGACACACUGGAACUGAAACACGGUCCAGACUCCUACGGAGGCAGCAGUGGGGAAUUUUGCGCAAUGGGGGAAACCCUGACGCAGCAACGCCGCGUGGAGGAUGACGCCCCUUGGGGUGUAAACUCCUUUCGAUCGGGAAGAUGAUGACGGUACCGAUAUAAGAAGCCCGGCUAACUCGUGCCAGCAGCCGC